CGCACGGGUGCGUAACGCGUAUGCAACCUACCAUCAACAGGGGGAUAACACUGAGAAAUUGGUACUAAUACCCCAUAAUAUCUCAUGCGGCAUCGCAUGGGGUUGAAAACUCCGGUGGUUGAUGAUGGGCAUGCGUUGUAUUAGCUGGUUGGUGAGGUAACGGCUCACCAAGGCGACGAUACAUAGGGGGACUGAGAGGUUAACCCCCCACAUUGGUAUUGAGACACGGACCAAACUCCUACGGAAGGCAGCAG
Molecule: ribosomal RNA, 254 nt
Filed under: uncultured bacterium
Lineage: Bacteria
Description: partial 16S ribosomal RNA
Rfam family: Bacterial small subunit ribosomal RNA
Source: RNAcentral